Molecule: ribosomal RNA, 219 nt
Filed under: uncultured prokaryote
Description: partial 16S ribosomal RNA
Rfam family: Bacterial small subunit ribosomal RNA
Source: RNAcentral
UACAGAGGGUGCUAGCGUUGUUCGGAAUCAUUGGGCGUAAAGGGCGUGUAGGCGGUCAGGUAAGUGAGAUGUGAAAUGCCCCGGCUCACCCGGGGACCGGCAUCUCAUACUGCUUGGCUUGAGUACGGGAGAGGAUGUGGGAAUUCCUGGUGUAGCGGUGAAAUGCGUAGAUAUCAGGAGGAACACCGGUGGCGAAGGCGGCAUCCUGGACCAACAUUG